GACGAACGCUGGCGGCGUGCUUAACACAUGCAAGUCGAACGGAAAGGCCCUGCUUUUGUGGGGUGCUCGAGUGGCGAACGGGUGAGUAACACGUGAGUAACCUGCCCUUGACUUUGGGAUAACUUCAGGAAACUGGGGCUAAUACCGGAUAGGAGCUCCUGCUGCAUGGUGGGGGUUGGAAAGUUUCGGCGGUUGGGGAUGGACUCGCGGCUUAUCAGCUUGUUGGUGGGGUAGUGGCUUACCAAGGCUUUGACGGGUAGCCGGCCUGAGAGGGUGACCGGCCACAUUGGGACUGAGAUACGGCCCAGACUCCUAAGGGAGGCAGCAGUGGGGAAUAUUUCACAAUGGGCGGAAGCCUGAUGCAGCAACGCCGCGUGCGGGAUGACGGCCUUCGGGUUGUAAACCGCUUUCGCCUGUGACGAAGCGUGAGUGACGGUAAUGGGUAAAGAAGCACCGGCUAACUACGUG
RNAcentral lists this ribosomal RNA (468 nucleotides) under uncultured bacterium. Its description in RNAcentral is "partial 16S ribosomal RNA". It matches the Rfam family "Bacterial small subunit ribosomal RNA", at positions 28 to 507 of the family's 1533-position model. The record is from RNAcentral.